Syzygium oleosum is the source of this 1191-nucleotide long non-coding RNA. RefSeq lists it as uncharacterized. The record is from RefSeq and is a predicted model, not a curated record. NCBI's taxonomy places the organism in Eukaryota, Viridiplantae, Streptophyta, Magnoliopsida, Myrtales, Myrtaceae. The transcript has 3 exons.
CUUUGAGGACAUUUUAGUGGGAUUAAAGAACUAUCCAGAGGAAAUCACCUGGCAGAGUUCCAGUUGCUGGACUUUAUUUAAUGGCAUCGUCUAGUCAAAAGGUGAGAUUAUCACAGUGAUACAUAAGUUUUAGAUUAGAAACAUUAACACCAGAUGUUCCAAUCAGAAGUUACAUAAACAGUGCUCUUGAGAUUAUGACUUCCUGAGGGUGUUUAACUGGUGCCUCGGUGUCAGCCGCAACUGAUUUAUCAAAAACAGUUCGUCAUUAGUCAGCCAUCAUAGUUGUCUGCUCUCUGUUGGUUGAAAUCAAAGGACUUCAUGAAUUGCGGUGUUUCCUGAUCAUGACAGAUGAAAACUUGGAAAUUGAAAAGUAUCGUCUGUCCUGAGGAAUUGGUGUGAAAUUUCUUGGCAAUUCAUAGGAUCGUGCACACAAAAGGUUACCUGCUUGAAUUUGUUUUCAGAGUACUGCAAUGAUGUGCAAAAUACUGCUGUAACACAGAAGUAGAGGAAUUUUCUGAAGAGCGGGCUGAUCGAAACAAUGGAAGGGAGGAUUUAGUUAACUUGGAGAAACAUACUCGAGUUCAAUAUUAUGAAAAGUCUCAGUUACUGCUUUUUCAAGGAAUUUCUGAAUUGCGGGCCAACUGACACAAUUGAAAUGCUCAGGCCAAAAAUCUCAAAGGUAAAGUGACUAAAGCCAAGUGGCCCAUAUGGAGGUGACCGGAAAAAAGAAACUGAAUGACUUUUUCUUGAAUUGUACUCCAGUUCCUCAUAUAAUUGAUUCAGCAGGAGAUGGAAACAGUAUCGCAGAAGAAGAAAAUUGUUAAUCUGCAGCAAGAAGCUCGAAUCGAGAGAAGCAAGAUAUGCAUAUAAUCUAAAGAAAGCCAUGAAAAUGAUCCAAGUUGAUCACAACUGCAAAGCACUAAACUAAAUUAAGCACAACAAUACAAGAGCAGCCCUUUCCACAGAAAUGUCUGCUUUUUGUACACAAUCAGUGAAGAACAAAGCCUAGUUAACUGUUAAAAAGAACUAAAAAAGGGGAAGAUUGGAGAAUGUGACUUCUCUCUUGUUGCAACUUUGCCUUUUCACUGGCUUCGAGGUACUACAUAUCUCAAUGCUCAAUCUUUUUUUUUUUCUUUUAUAAGUCUACCCUUUAACAUCUUCUUUACAGGGAGUGAGAAAAAAGAAAAAGUU